RNAcentral lists this long non-coding RNA (478 nucleotides) under Mytilus galloprovincialis (Mediterranean mussel). Lineage: Eukaryota; Metazoa; Mollusca; Bivalvia; Mytilida; Mytilidae. The record is from RNAcentral.
GGUGUUUUAUCAAAACAACUUGUACUAUAUCUUGAUUUAUAACAAAGGACCUUUUUAUUAAUUAUUUUAAAUAUGGGAUAAUCCCUAAGGCAAUUAAGCAAAUUCUUCUAGUUUUGAGUUAUGGGAGGUUUGAAAUCCACAUAAGUGUUUCGUCAGACGGUUCUGAUGGUCUUUCGAUUUUGCCUGUCAUUUUAUUGUGGACUUACCGUUUUAAAGUUUCCUCGGAGUUCGGUAUUUUUUUUUUUUUUACUUUUUUCUUCAUAAAUUAAGCGAGGGCGGUUGUUCUCAAUUUUUUUUUACUAUUUCUUACAUGUAUGUUGUUUCUCGCAUAAAAGCUUAGUAAAAGGACAGUAACUAAAGUUCGACAUAACAAAUAAGUAAUACGUAUAUUAAUAUUACUUGUAAGUGUACUCAUGCAGUUUGUUUAUAGGUGUUUCCCUCAUUUUUCCAGAACAUUCAACUGCCUGGCAGACUCUUU